AUUGAACGCUGGCGGCAGGCCUAACACAUGCAAGUCGAACGAGUGGCGGACGGGUGAGUAAUGUCUGGGAAACUGCCUGAUGGAGGGGGCUAACUACUGGAAACGGUAGCUAAUACCGCAUACCAUCAGAUGUGCCCAGAUGGGAUUAGCUAGUUGGGGGGGUAACGGCUCACCAAGGCGACGAUCCCUGGCUGGUCUGAGAGGAUGACAAGCCACCCGGUAAGUGAGACACGGUCCAGAAUACUCCGGGAGGGAGCAGUGGGGAUUAUUGCACAAUGGGCGCAAGCCUGGUGCAGCCAUGCGGCGUGUAUGAAGAAGGCCUUCGGGUUGGAAAGUACUUUCAGCGGGGAGGCGUUACCCGCAGAAGAAGCACCGGCUAACUCCGUGCCAGCAGCCGCGGUAAUUC
RNAcentral lists this ribosomal RNA (406 nucleotides) under uncultured bacterium. Its description in RNAcentral is "partial 16S ribosomal RNA". It matches the Rfam family "Bacterial small subunit ribosomal RNA", at positions 30 to 526 of the family's 1533-position model. The record is from RNAcentral.